RNAcentral lists this ribosomal RNA (439 nucleotides) under uncultured archaeon. Its description in RNAcentral is "bacterial SSU rRNA". It matches the Rfam family "Archaeal small subunit ribosomal RNA", at positions 19 to 463 of the family's 1478-position model. The record is from RNAcentral.
GGACCUGACUGCUAUCGGAUUGAUACUAAGCCAUGCGAGUCUUUGUAGUAAUACAAGGCAGACGGCUCAGUAACGCGUAGUCAAUCUACCCUAUGGACGAGGAUAACCUCGGGAAACUGAGAAUAAUACUCGAUAGAACAUUAUGCCUGGAAUGGUUUAUGUUCCAAAUGAUUUAUCGCCGUAGGAUGGGACUGCGGCCUAUCAGUUUGUUGGUGAGGUAAUGGCCCACCAAGACUAUUACAGGUACGGGCUCUGAGAGGAGUGGCCCGGAGAUGGGUACUGAGACACGGACCCAGGCCCUAUGGGGCGCAGCAGGCGAGAAAACUUUGCAAUGUGCGAAAGCACGACAAGGUUAAUCCGAGUGGUUUCUGCUAAAGAGACCUUUUGUCGGUCCUAGAAACACCGAUGAAUAAGGGGUGGGCGAGUUCUGGUGUCGGCG